AUGUCUAAGGGACCUGCAGUCGGCAUUGAUCUUGGCACCACCUAUGUUUGCGUGGGUGUCUUCCAGCAUGGAAAAGUGGAGAUAAUGACCAACAAUCGGGGAACCCAGCUAUCCCAAGCUAUGUCACCUUCACUGACAAAGAAUGAUUGAUCAGUGAUGCUGCAAAGAAUCAGGUUGCAAUGUGCCCCACCAACACAGUUUUUGAUGCCAAAUGUCUGAUAAGACAGAGAUUUGAUGAUGCUGUUGUCCAGUCUAAUAUGAAGCACUGGUGGUGGAUGAUGCAGGCAGGCCCGAAGUCCAAGUAGAAUACAAGGGUGAGACAAAAAGUUUCUAUCUAGAGGAGGUAUCUUUUAUGGUUGGGACAAAGAUGAGGGAAAUUGAAGAGGACUACCUUUACCACUGGCCUACUGUUACCAUUGCUGUGGUCACAGUGCCAGCUUACUUCAGUGACUCUCAGCAUCAGUCAACCAAAGAUGCUGGAACUAUUGCUGGUCUCAAUGUACUUAGGACAAUUAGCCAACUGCCACUGUUAUUGCUUAUGAUUUAGACAAAAAGGUUGGAGCUGAAAGAAAUGUGCUAAUUUUUAUUUAGGAGGUGGCAUUUUUGAUGUGUCAAUCUUCACUAUUGAGGUCAAAUCCACAGCUGGAGACACCCACUUAGGUGGAGAAGAUUUUGAUAACCGUGUGGUCAAUGUUUAUCUCUGAGUUCAAGCAAAAGCAUAAGAAGGACAUCCCAUCCAUGAAAACAAAAGAGCUGUCCAACAUCUCCAUACUGCAUGUGAAAGAGCUAAGCAUACCCACUCUUCCAGCAAACAGGCUAGUACUGAGAUUGAUUCUCUUUAUGAAGGAAUCAACUUCUAUACCUCCAUUACCUGUGCUUGAUUUGAAGAGUUGAAUCCUGUUCCGUGGCACCCUUGAUCCUGUAGAAACAUCUCUUUGAAAUGCCAAGUUAGACAAGUUACAUAUCCAUGAUAUUGUACUGGUGGGUGGUCCUACUCAUAUGCCCCAGAUUCAGAAGCUUUUGUAGAACGUCAAUGGAAAAGAACAGAAUAAGAGCAUCAACCCUGAUGAUGCUGUCGCUUAUGGUGCAGCUGUCCAGACAGCCAUUUUAUCUGAACAUAAGCCUAAAAAUGUUCAAGAUUUGCUGCUCUUGGAUGUCACUCCUCUUUCCCUUGGUAUUGAAACUUCUGGUGGAGUCGUGAUUGUCCUUAUUAAGUGCAAUACCACCAUUCCUACUGAGGAGGCACAGAGCUUCACCAACUACCCUGAUAACCAGCCUGGUGUGCUCAUUCAGAUAUAUAAAGGUAAGCAUGCCAUAACCAAGGAUAACAACCUGCUUGGCAAGUUUGAACUCACAGGCACAUCUCCUGCACCCCUUGGUCUUCCUCAGAUUCAAGUCACUUUUGAUAUUGAUGACAAUGGCAUCCUCGAUAUCUCUGCCAUAGAUAAGAGUACAGGAAAAAAGAACAAGAUUACCAUCACUAAUGACAGAGAUUGUUCAGGCAAGGAGGACAUUGAGAACCUGGCUUAGGAAGCUUAAAAGUACAAAGCUGAAGACAAAAAGUAGAGGGACAAUAUGUCAUCCAAGAAUUCUCUGGAGUCUUAUGCAUUCAACAUGGAAGUGACUGUUGAAGAUGAGAAACUUCAAGGCAAGAUAACUGAUGAAGACAAAUACAAGAUUUUAACAAAUGUAAUGAAAUCAUUGACUGGCUGUAUAAGAAUCAGACUGCAGAGAAGGAAGAAUUAAACAUCAGCAGAAAGAGCUGGAGAAGGUCUGCAACCCCACCAUCACCAAGCUGUUCCAGAGUGCAGGAGGCAUGCCAGGAGAAAAGCUUGGAGGGUCACCUCUCUGGUGGUGGUACUUCCUCUGGGCCCACUAUUGAAGAGGUUGAUAAUGUCAGUCCAAGUACAGAUAUUGCAUUAUUCUACACAGUAAAAUAUGGAAGGGCCCAAAUUUGUAGCAAAUUACUGGGCAUUCUCAAUACUUGCAUAUAG
This is a non-coding RNA of Marmota flaviventris (yellow-bellied marmot), 1994 nucleotides long. Lineage: Eukaryota; Metazoa; Chordata; Mammalia; Rodentia; Sciuridae. The record is from RefSeq and is a predicted model, not a curated record.